GAUGAACGCUGACAGAAUGCUUAACACAUGCAAGUCAACUUGAACUUCGGUUUGGGUGGCGGACGGGUGAGUAACGCGUAAAGAACUUGCCUCACAGAUAGGGACAACAUUUGGAAACGAAUGCUAAUACCUGAUAUUAUGAUUUUAGGGCAUCCUAGAAUUAUGAAAGCUAUAUGCGCUGUGAGAGAGCUUUGCGUCCCAUUAGCUAGUUGGAGAGGUAACGGCUCACCAAGGCGAUGAUGGGUAGCCGGCCUGAGAGGGUGAUCGGCCACAAGGGGACUGAGACACGGCCCUUACUCCUACGGGAGGCAGCAGUGGGGAAUAUUGGACAAUGGACCAAGAGUCUGAUCCAGCAAUUCUGUGUGCACGAUGAAGUUUUUCGGAAUGUAAAGUGCUUUCAGUUGGGAAGAAAAAAAUGACGGUACCAACAGAAGAAGUGACGGCUAAAUACGUGCCAGCAGCCGCGGUAAUACGUAUGUCACAAGCGUUAUCCGGAUUUAUUGGGCGUAAAGCGCGUCUAGGUGGUUAUAUAAGUCUGAUGUGAAAAUGCAGGGCUCAACUCUGUAUUGCGUUGGAAACUGUGUAACUAGAGUACUGGAGAGGUAAGCGGAACUACAAGUGUAGAGGUGAAAUUCGUAGAUAUUUGUAGGAAUGCCAAUGGGGAAGCCAGCUUACUGGACAGAUACUGACGCUGAAGCGCGAAAGCGUGGGUAGCAAACAGG
Molecule: ribosomal RNA, 722 nt
Filed under: uncultured Fusobacterium sp.
Lineage: Bacteria; Fusobacteriati; Fusobacteriota; Fusobacteriia; Fusobacteriales; Fusobacteriaceae
Description: bacterial SSU rRNA
Rfam family: Bacterial small subunit ribosomal RNA
Source: RNAcentral